UACGGAGGGGGCUAGCGUUGUUCGGAAUUACUGGGCGUAAAGCGCGCGUAGGCGGACCUGCAAGUCGGGGGUGAAAGCCCGAGGCUCAACCUCGGAACUGCCUUCGAUACUGCGGGUCUCGAGUCCGGGAGAGGUGAGUGGAAUUCCUAGUGUAGAGGUGAAAUUCGUAGAUAUUAGGAAGAACACCAGUGGCGAAGGCGGCUCACUGGCCCGGUACUGGACGCUG
Molecule: ribosomal RNA, 226 nt
Filed under: uncultured bacterium
Lineage: Bacteria
Description: partial 16S ribosomal RNA
Rfam family: Bacterial small subunit ribosomal RNA
Source: RNAcentral